UCGUCACACUAUCAUUAACUGAAUCCAUAGGUUAAUGAGGCGAACCGGGGGAACUGAAACAUCUAAGUACCCCGAGGAAAAGAAAUCAACCGAGAUUCCCCCAGUAGCGGCGAGCGAACGGGGAGGAGCCCAGAGCCUGAAUCAGCAUGUGUGUUAGUGGAAGCGUCUGGAAAGGCGCGCGAUACAGGGUGACAGCCCCGUACACAAAAGCGCAUGUGCUGUGAGCUCGAUGAGUAGGGCGGGACACGUGGUAUCCUGUCUGAAUAUGGGGGGACCAUCCUCCAAGGCUAAAUACUCCUGACUGACCGAUAGUGAACCAGUACCGUGAGGGAAAGGCGAAAAGAACCCCGGCGAGGGGAGUGAAAAAGAACCUGAAACCGUGUACGUACAAGCAGUGGGAGCA
RNAcentral lists this ribosomal RNA (403 nucleotides) under Salmonella enterica subsp. enterica serovar Enteritidis. Its description in RNAcentral is "partial 23S ribosomal RNA". It matches the Rfam family "Bacterial large subunit ribosomal RNA", at positions 140 to 581 of the family's 2925-position model. The record is from RNAcentral. Lineage: Bacteria; Pseudomonadati; Pseudomonadota; Gammaproteobacteria; Enterobacterales; Enterobacteriaceae.